GAGGGGAAAGGUUCCAUGUGAACGGCA
RNAcentral lists this non-coding RNA (27 nucleotides) under Arabidopsis thaliana (thale cress). The record is from RNAcentral. RNAcentral also lists the same sequence under 1 other name. Lineage: Eukaryota; Viridiplantae; Streptophyta; Magnoliopsida; Brassicales; Brassicaceae.